GAUAGAGGCGCAGGGUUGAUGAGUAGACCGGUCAUAAGAGGCGCAGGCAGCCGAUCGGGGCGAAAGGCAGCACUGCCGAAGUGUUCUGUCAGCCAUUGGGACAGAAUGCUGGGACGCAAGCAGAAUAUGCUUCGUACUGUCACUUUUGUGGAGCGCUAUCGUG
Molecule: non-coding RNA, 163 nt
Filed under: uncultured Blautia sp.
Lineage: Bacteria; Bacillati; Bacillota; Clostridia; Lachnospirales; Lachnospiraceae
Description: Lysine riboswitch
Rfam family: Lysine riboswitch aptamer
About the family: Riboswitches are metabolite binding domains within certain messenger RNAs that serve as precision sensors for their corresponding targets.
Source: RNAcentral